AGCAGGCGCGAAAACUUUACAAUGCGGGAAACCGUGAUAAGGGAACUCCGAGUGUCCGUAAAUGCGGACUGUCCGUAUGUCUAAAAAGCAUGCGAAGAAAGGGCCGGGCAAGACCGGUGCCAGCCGCCGCGGUAAUACCGGCGGCUCGAGUGGUGGCCACUAUUACUGGGCUUAAAGCGUUCGUAGCUGGGUCGUUAAGUCUCUUGGGAAAUCUACCGGCUUAACCGAUAGGCGUCCAAGGGAUACUGGCGAUCUAGGGACCGGGAGAGGUGAGGGGUACUUCAGGGGUAGGAGUGAAAUCCUGUAAUCCUUGGGGGACCACCUGUGGCGAAGGCGCCUCACCAGAACGGCUCCGACAGUGAGGGACGAAAGCUGGGGGAGCAAACCGGAUUAGAUACCCGGGUAGUCCCAGCCGUAAACGAUGCGCGUUAGGUGUAUCGAUGACCACGAGUCAUCGAGGUGCCGAAGGGAAACCGUGAAACGCGCCGCCUGGGAAGUACGGUCGCAAGGCUGAAACUUAAAGGAAUUGGCGGGGGAGCACCACAACAGGUGGAGCCUGCGGUUUAAUCGGACUCAACGCCGGAAAUCUCACCGGAUNANACAGCUGAAUGAUAGUCGGGCUGANNACUCUACUUGACUAGCUGAGAGGAGGUGCAUGGCCAAUCACUA
This 669-nucleotide ribosomal RNA is filed under the name uncultured archaeon. Its description in RNAcentral is "bacterial SSU rRNA". It matches the Rfam family "Archaeal small subunit ribosomal RNA", at positions 334 to 1007 of the family's 1478-position model. The record is from RNAcentral.